GUCGAUCUGCUCCAUGAAAUUAAUUUAAAUAGCUGCAGUAUAUUGACUGUACAAAGGUAGCAUAAUAAAUUGUCUUUUAAUUGAAGAAUUGAAUGAAUGAAUUGAUGAAAUAACAACUGUCUCUAUAUUAUUUAAUGAAUUUAAAUUUUUAGUUAAAAUUCUGAAAUUUAAUUAUGGGACGAUAAGACCCUAUAGAAUUUUAUUUAAUAUAAUUAUUUAUUUAAAUUAUUUGUGAAUAUAUAAUUAAUUUAAAUUUGAUUGGGAGGAUUGGUAAAUAAAAAUAACUUUAUCUAAAAAUUAAUUUUGAUGAAAAGAUUUUUUUUUGACUUAUAAUUUAUGAUUAAAAGAAUAAAUUACCUUAGGGAUAACAGCGUAAUAUCUUUUGAUAGACCACAUUGAUAAAGAUGUUUGCGACCUCGAUGUUGAAUUAAGAGAAAAGUUAAACGCAGGAGUUUAAAAUUUUAAGUCUG
RNAcentral lists this ribosomal RNA (470 nucleotides) under Apis nuluensis. RNAcentral describes it as "partial 16S ribosomal RNA". The record is from RNAcentral. Lineage: Eukaryota; Metazoa; Arthropoda; Insecta; Hymenoptera; Apidae.